AGGAAGAAGAUUGGAACUGCAGGGAAUACAUUGAGCAUUCACAUCCAGGCCUCUGCAGUCAAGUUCUUGGUUGAAAGGGUCGUGUAGGUGCGUCUGGCCAGCCCUGCAUUCAAGAGGUGCAACACCUCCGUAGAGGAGAGAUGAAGAUGCAGAGAAGAUGAAACAUCCCACAGGGAUCAUUGUGCUGAGGGAUUACGAGGGGCAGGAAGACGCUGACUGUUUUCCUCCUUCGUCCCUCUGCGAGGAAAAUCCUGGAGUAAAGCACCUGAGUGCUAAAGAAGACGUUUACCUGUAUGGAUCUGCUGGAUUAUUACCUGAGUGACACCUGGGCAGACUGCACGGGAUUAUUUCAGAUUAGUUGCUGUUACCUGAUGUUUCCUCCUGCGCUGCAGAGAAUGAUGAUGAGCCAGAGGAUGAGGCUUCAUGUAAUCGUGUGCCAUCCGUCAAACAGCAAGAUGACAGCAUCACAAUACACAGCCUGUGGAGGGGAGGG
This 493-nucleotide long non-coding RNA is filed under the name Cottoperca gobio. RNAcentral's name for it is "lncRNA (ENSCGOG00000002331.1)". Lineage: Eukaryota; Metazoa; Chordata; Actinopteri; Perciformes; Bovichtidae. The record is from RNAcentral.